CCUACGGGAGGCAGCAGUGAGGAAUAUUGGUCAAUGGCCGGAAGGCUGAACCAGCCACGCCGCGUGAAGGACGAAGGUGCCAAGCAUUGUAAACUUCUUUUAUAAAGGAAUAAAGUGAGGCACGUGUGCCUUUUUGUAUGUACUUUAAGAAUAAGGCUCGGCUAACUCCGUGCCAGCAGCCGCGGUAAUUCGGAGGAUCCGAGCGUUAUCCGGAUUUAUUGGGUUUAAAGGGAGCGUAGAUGGGUUGUUAAGUCAGUUGUGAAAUUUUGCGGCUCCACCGUAAAAUUGCAAUUGAUACUGGCAGCCUUGAGGACAGUUGAGGUAGGCGGAAUUCGUGGUGUAGCGGUGAAAUGCUUAGAUAUCACGAAGAACUCCGAUUGCGAAGGCAGCCUACUAAACUGCCACUGACAUUGAUGCUCGAAAGUGUGGGUAUCAAACAGGAUUAGAUACCCGUGUAGUC
RNAcentral lists this ribosomal RNA (460 nucleotides) under uncultured bacterium. RNAcentral's name for it is "partial 16S ribosomal RNA". It matches the Rfam family "Bacterial small subunit ribosomal RNA", at positions 338 to 795 of the family's 1533-position model. The record is from RNAcentral.